UACGUAUGGGGCGAGCGUUGUUCGGAAUUAUUGGGUGUAAAGGGCGUCUAGGCGGGAGAUUAAGUUAGAUGUGAAAGGCGUGGGCUUAACCCACGAAUUGCAUCUAAAACUGGUUUUCUUGAGUUCGGGAGAGGAGAGCGGAAUUCUUGGUGUAGCGGUGAAAUGCGUAGAUAUCAAGAAGAACACCAGUGGCGAAGGCGGCUCUCUGGCCUAGAACUGACGCUGAAGCGCGAAAGCGUGGGGAGCAAACAGGAUUAGAUACCCGCGUAGUCCCU
This 275-nucleotide ribosomal RNA is filed under the name uncultured prokaryote. RNAcentral describes it as "partial 16S ribosomal RNA". It matches the Rfam family "Bacterial small subunit ribosomal RNA", at positions 524 to 798 of the family's 1533-position model. The record is from RNAcentral.